AGUGAACGCUGGCGGUAGGCCUAACACAUGCAAGUCGAACGGCAGCACAGUAAGAGCUUGCUCUUACGGGUGGCGAGUGGCGGACGGGUGAGGAAUACAUCGGAAUCUACUUUUUCGUGGGGGAUAACGUAGGGAAACUUACGCUAAUACCGCAUACGACCUACGGGUGAAAGCAGGGGAUCUUCGGACCUUGCGCGAUUGAAUGAGCCGAUGUCGGAUUAGCUAGUUGGCGGGGUAAAGGCCAACCAAGGCGACGAUCCGUAGCUGGUCUGAGAGGAUGAUCGGCCACACUGGAACGUGAACACGGUCCAGGCUCCUACGGGAGGCAGCAGUGGGGAAUAUUGGACAAUGGUCGCAAGCCUGAUCCAGCCAUACCGCGUGGGUUAAGAAGGCCUUCGGGUUGUAAAGCCCUUUUGUUGGGAAAGAAAAGCAGCAGGUUAAUACCCCGCUGUUCUGACGGUACCCAAAGAAUAAGCACCGGCUAACUUCGUG
Molecule: ribosomal RNA, 492 nt
Filed under: uncultured bacterium
Lineage: Bacteria
Description: partial 16S ribosomal RNA
Rfam family: Bacterial small subunit ribosomal RNA
Source: RNAcentral